UAGGAACUUUGGUAAGAACAAAAACAAGAGCAAGAAUCCAAAUAAAAAUUUUAAUUAAAAUUAAG
This 65-nucleotide ribosomal RNA is filed under the name Fragilariopsis kerguelensis. RNAcentral's name for it is "partial Trypanosomatid mitochondrial large subunit ribosomal RNA". The record is from RNAcentral. Lineage: Eukaryota; Bacillariophyta; Bacillariophyceae; Bacillariales; Bacillariaceae.